CUGGGGAGCUGGGGGAGGUAGCAAGGAGACUAUAAGUUGAAGGAGAGCAUGGAUUUGAGAAAUAUCCUGCUCUACUUGCAGCAGUUUUUGCUCUAUCUGCACCAUUAUAAGCUCAAUGCGAGUCAGAGUAUCCUGGUCUUCUGCAGUGGCAGUCCUGGAAGACUCACCCCGUUCUGUCUGUGCACUUGGCUCCACUAAACAGUAACUAACAGU
RNAcentral lists this unclassified non-coding RNA (213 nucleotides) under Hevea brasiliensis (rubber tree). The record is from RNAcentral. Lineage: Eukaryota; Viridiplantae; Streptophyta; Magnoliopsida; Malpighiales; Euphorbiaceae.